UCAAGCAACUACGCGUUAUCAAAGAUUACUCAAAAAGUAGUUAUCAGAUCUCGAUUAAAUUUAUAUGUGACCAUAUGAUAAACAUCAGCUUUCGAUUAAAUUAAAAAUCAUCAUAAUCGGUACACCCAGUAAAAAGUUAUUACGGAUUUUCGAGAGUUUCCCUCGAUUUCUCUGGGAUCCCAUCAUCAGAUCCUGGUUUCCUUAUCACGGUACAAAACUAGGGAUAUCCCCUUUCCAACAAAAAAAGAAUUAUCAAAAUCGGUACAUCCAGUAGAAAGUUAUGCGGUAUAAUACAACGUAGGUAGACGAAAAAAGCGUCAAGUAAAAACGCAUUAUUAGAUAUAACUCGAAAAUUAGUUAUUAGAUCUCAAAUAAAUUUAAAU
RNAcentral lists this unclassified non-coding RNA (383 nucleotides) under Melitaea cinxia (Glanville fritillary). Its description in RNAcentral is "misc RNA ENSMCXG00005002886.1". Lineage: Eukaryota; Metazoa; Arthropoda; Insecta; Lepidoptera; Nymphalidae. The record is from RNAcentral.